UGGGGAAUUUUCCGCAAUGGGCGAAAGCCUGACGGAGCAAUACCGCGUGAGGGAAGAAUGCCUGAGGGUUGUAAACCUCUUUUAUUAGGAAAGAAAAAAUGACGGUACCUAAAGAAUAAGCAUCGGCUAACUCCGUGCCAGCAGCCGCGGUAAUACGGGGGAUGCAAGCGUUAUCCGGAAUCACUGGGCGUAAAGAGUCUGUAGGUGGCCUGUUAAGUCUGUUGUUAAAGCUUGAAGCUUAACUUCAAAUAAGCGAUGGAAACUGACAAGCUAGAGUAUGGUAGGGGUAAAGGGAAUUCCCAGUGUAGCGGUGAAAUGCGUAGAUAUUGGGAAGAACACCAGUGGCGAAAGCGCUUUACUGGGCCAUAACUGACACUCAGAGACGAAAGCUAAGGAAGCAAAUGGGAUUAGAUACCCGCGUAGUCC
RNAcentral lists this ribosomal RNA (426 nucleotides) under uncultured prokaryote. RNAcentral describes it as "bacterial SSU rRNA". It matches the Rfam family "Bacterial small subunit ribosomal RNA", at positions 355 to 796 of the family's 1533-position model. The record is from RNAcentral.